Molecule: ribosomal RNA, 620 nt
Filed under: Pantoea stewartii
Lineage: Bacteria; Pseudomonadati; Pseudomonadota; Gammaproteobacteria; Enterobacterales; Erwiniaceae
Description: bacterial SSU rRNA
Rfam family: Bacterial small subunit ribosomal RNA
Source: RNAcentral
GUCGGACGGUAGCACAGAGGAGCUUGCUCCUCGGGUGACGAGUGGCGGACGGGUGAGUAAUGUCUGGGAAACUGCCCGAUGGAGGGGGAUAACUACUGGAAACGGUAGCUAAUACCGCAUAACGUCGCAAGACCAAAGUGGGGGACCUUCGGGCCUCACACCAUCGGAUGUGCCCAGAUGGGAUUAGCUUGUAGGCGGGGUAACGGCCCACCUAGGCGACGAUCCCUAGCUGGUCUGAGAGGAUGACCAGCCACACUGGAACUGAGACACGGUCCAGACUCCUACGGGAGGCAGCAGUGGGGAAUAUUGCACAAUGGGCGCAAGCCUGAUGCAGCCAUGCCGCGUGUAUGAAGAAGGCCUUCGGGUUGUAAAGUACUUUCAGCGGGGAGGAAGGUGUUGAGGUUAAUAACCUCAGCAAUUGACGUUACCCGCAGAAGAAGCACCGGCUAACUCCGUGCCAGCAGCCGCGGUAAUACGGAGGGUGCAAGCGUUAAUCGGAAUUACUGGGCGUANAGCGCACGCAGGCGGUCUGUUAAGUCAGAUGUGAAAUCCCCGGGCUUAACCUGGGAACUGCAUUUGAAACUGGCAGGCUUGAGUCUCGUAGAGGGGGGUAGAAUUCC